GUACCGGACACGGGGUGCCCCACCGGGGGCUGAGAUCACACCCGUCGAACCUGAACCAGUUCGUACUGGCGGAGGGAUGUCUUCCAUGCCAUUG
This 94-nucleotide non-coding RNA is filed under the name Actinacidiphila glaucinigra. RNAcentral describes it as "Streptomyces glauciniger TPP sequence". It matches the Rfam family "TPP riboswitch aptamer (THI element)". Rfam says of the family: Vitamin B(1) in its active form thiamin pyrophosphate (TPP) is an essential coenzyme that is synthesised by coupling of pyrimidine and thiazole moieties in bacteria. The previously detected thiamin-regulatory element, thi box was extended, resulting in a new, highly conserved RNA secondary structure, the THI element, which is widely distributed in eubacteria and also occurs in some archaea. Analysis of operon structures identified a large number of new candidate thiamin-regulated genes, mostly transporters, in various prokaryotic organisms. The record is from Rfam by way of RNAcentral. Lineage: Bacteria; Bacillati; Actinomycetota; Actinomycetes; Kitasatosporales; Streptomycetaceae.